Eriocheir sinensis (Chinese mitten crab) is the source of this 2025-nucleotide long non-coding RNA. RefSeq lists it as uncharacterized. The transcript has 10 exons. The record is from RefSeq and is a predicted model, not a curated record. NCBI's taxonomy places the organism in Eukaryota, Metazoa, Arthropoda, Malacostraca, Decapoda, Varunidae.
AAAUAAAACUUCCUACCGUCCAUUUUCUCUCGAGCCUCGGCCAUGGCAGCACGCGGGGCCGCACGGGGAGGCAAGGACACUCGACUUUACCUGAUUUUUGGUGGUUUGUGGCCCUCCUGACCCCCGCUAUGGCCCGGAGACAGUGUUUUAGGGGUCAGGGUGCCAGAAGGCCAUGGGACCACAGCCCCUAGAGCAGGCUGCUCAAGGCUAUGAUUUAAUGAUCCUCUGGAGUGGGGGCUAGAUCCUGUCGAGAUGGUCAGACUUCUGUAAGGUUGUGCUUGAGGAGCUGGUCUGCCAUUGGUCUGGAAAUCAGCCUAUCCUUGACCUCAUUCGUGUAUGGGACAGCAGAAGCAGAGGAAUGAGCUGCAAUAUUCGCCUACCAGAGAUCAUGGCAUUUCAUCAUCUUGAUUGAUGCCACAGGUGACUUGAGAUUUCUCACAAGCCAGGCCUUUAUGAUGGCAGCCAACUCUCCUCUGAUGUCCAUUGCUGGAAUCCAUCCAUCAGCCUCCAGUAUAACAGCGUCUACUCUGAAGAACCUCUCAGCAUUCAAAAGUAGCAGUGGAGGACCCAAACCUGCUCCACUAAGGCUUCCCUGAGGAGCAGCCACACUGGACAAGCAAGAUGGAAGGAUAUUCAAGGUGGUUGGGGUUGAAGGGCUGUGACAGACUAGCAGACCCGAACCACCCUUGUGUUGUGCGAGGUGAUCAUGGGUGUUGUAGCUGUCCAUUCUUCAGGAAAACACAGAUUGACAGACAUAGCAAAGGAAAGAAGGAAUGUGGUGUCUUGCAUAAUAGAUUGAGGAAGGAAUGGGGAUCCUCCUUCCUUGCUUUCCACUGUCCUCCCCUCUCCCGAGGCUCCUGUGUUUUAUUUUGUUCAUAAUAGUGACCUCAACAUACAUCCAGGAGGAGGAGGGAAGACAGUCUUCAGGAGCAGAACUCGUGUGUGAUCCAAGAAGUAUAUCCUUGUAGUGGUGAUCAGCAAGGUGGUGAAGGUGAGAAAGUUUCCUCGUCAAAUCAGCUUACAGAAAACUAACCACGUCACAUCAAUGCAACGGAGAACACGUGCGUGAUCCAAGAAGUAUAUCCUUGUAGUGGUGAUCAGCAAGGUGAAGAAGGGCCAAAGUGUGGAGAUUGAAGAAGAAAUUGUCCCAAGAUGGAGGUUAUCCAGAGAAUGAGAGCAAUGAAGAAUAUGUGAAGGAUUUUUUCUUGGCUGGAGGGAGAAGGGUGUCCUCAAGAUUGGUCUUCAGCAAAAUCAAGGUGACUGUGUACAUAGCAAUCGCAGUAUCAUGAUUCUUCCACAUUAGCUUCAGUUGUGAUGGUGAUAUGUAUAGAUGUAGUACAAUUACCAGUUGGUUUUGUAGAUGGUACAAGGUUAUGUGGGAUAAACUUCACUUUUUUCACAUGAAAAUAGGACUACCCAUUCCUUCAGGGGCCCCAGCAUUGCAAGUGGCUCUUCAGUGUUUUGAGGGGCCCCAACAUUGCAAGUGGCUUCUUCAGUAUUUUAAUGGGCCCCAGCAGUGCAAUUGGCUGCUUCAGUGUUUCAGGGGGCUCCAACAUUCUAAGUGGCUUCAUGUUUUUAGGGGCCCCAGCAGUGCAAGUGGUGUCUGGCUGGUGGUGAGGUGAUGUUGUCCUUCGACUGUAGAGGCUAGAUCCUCUUGAGUUAACUCAACUUCUGUAGGAAGGUUGUUGUACAUAUGAGGGUUUGGAAAGAACUGUUGGCAUCAAAGGAGUUGCUGCCAAGGUCCUGUGAGUUGAUCCAUGGAUAUUGAGUUUUGUUAAGGAUGCUGUGAAGGGUGUGUGUUCGGAUAGUGUGAAGGGAGCAAAAUCUUGGGCAUUGAAGCAGGAAGUGGUCCAGUGUGUCAGGCUGUGUGGGACACCAUGGGAUCCUGACUGGCUGUAUAUUCGUGUGUCCCAAGUCCCAACAUGGUCAACAUUAAUAAAACGUGCAUGACUUUGAUGACUAUUAUCUUACUACCAGAUAGUAAUAUUGUGUAUGGGUACCUUGGAAUAAAAACUUGCCAUAGAA